Bactrocera tryoni is the source of this 790-nucleotide long non-coding RNA. RefSeq lists it as uncharacterized. The record is from RefSeq and is a predicted model, not a curated record. The transcript is spliced from 2 exons. NCBI's taxonomy places the organism in Eukaryota, Metazoa, Arthropoda, Insecta, Diptera, Tephritidae.
GUCGACGGCAAUGCUUCGCACGCGUAUCCACUAUGCGCCGUUCAGUUACUGUUCGACCGUACGCGUGACGGGUGUGUUUGAGCGCAUCGAACGGCGAGUAAAACAGUGAAACGGCAGCGCAGCGCACAGCCAAACAGCAAAUACGGUGUUGUGUGAAGUGUGUGGCAAGGCUUGGCAUUAGCUGCUGAUUAACAUAAUUGAGACCAGCUGCUGGACGGCUGUUGGCUUUUGAUGAAAUAAAACGCAAAAGUAAAAAAAAAAAGUUUUAUUUGCGAAAAAAUUGCAUGUUAAAUUCAAAAUAGUGAAUAAAAAUGAAAUAUCUGAUAUUUUAUUAAAAAUUUGUUGCAGUGUCGCUUGCGUGUGUCUAACAGUCGGCGAAAUCAACACACACCAGUUAAACAGUAAAAGUAACGGAUAGUGUGUUUACAUAAGGCCCCCAAAGGAUUAUUUAAAAUUUGCGUGCAAUUUAUAAUCUUUUUAAUACCAUUUGUGGAAAAAAAGAAAUAUACUUCAAAAUAAAGAAUUAAAUGAAGAAAAAUAAAAAAUUAAAUAAAGAAAUGUAAAAAUAACACCCUGUACGUAGCGGCGACGCCACACACAAGCAUUAAUAAGCAGCUGACAUGGUGAAAUCUACAGCUUCCUGCGGAAGUUAUUACGUUUGCGAAUGAGCUGCUGAAUGCGCAAUGCAGGCGCAAUAUCACAAAAAAACUGUGAAUGAUUUAUUUCAAAACAUUUGAAGCCACUGAAUAAAUUAAGCACAUAAGUAACGGCGGAUUCCCAAGCGUAGCAG